UUAUGGAUUGUAGGACUCUCGGCAAUGGAUAUCUCGGCUCUUGCAUCGAUGAAGAGCGCAGCGAAAUGCGAUACGUGGUGCGAAUUGCAGAAUCCCGUGAACCAUCGAGUUUUUGAACGCAAGUUGCGCCUGAGGCCAACUGGCCGAGGGCACGUCCGCCUGGGCAUCAUGC
Molecule: ribosomal RNA, 172 nt
Filed under: Townsonia atepala
Lineage: Eukaryota; Viridiplantae; Streptophyta; Magnoliopsida; Asparagales; Orchidaceae
Description: 5.8S ribosomal RNA
Rfam family: 5.8S ribosomal RNA
About the family: 5.8S ribosomal RNA (5.8S rRNA) is a component of the large subunit of the eukaryotic ribosome. It is transcribed by RNA polymerase I as part of the 45S precursor that also contains 18S and 28S rRNA.
Source: RNAcentral